GACGAACGCUGGCGGCGUGCUUAACACAUGCAAGUCGAACGGAAAGGCCCUGCUUUUGUGGGGUGCUCGAGUGGCGAACGGGUGAGUAACACGUGAGUAACCUGCCCUUGACUUUGGGAUAACUUCAGGAAACUGGGGCUAAUACCGGAUAGGAGCUCCUGCUGCAUGGUGGGGGUUGGAAAGUUUCGGCGGUUGGGGAUGGACUCGCGGCUUAUCCGCUUGUUGGUGGGGUAGUGGCUUACCAAGGCUUUGACGGGUAGCCGGCCUGAGAGGGUGACCGGCCACAUUGGGACUGAGAUACGGCGCAGACUGCUACGGGAGGCAGCAGUGGGGAAUAUUGCACAAUGGGCGGAAGCCUGAUGCAGCAACGCCGCGUGCGGGAUGACGGCCUUCGGGUUGUAAACCGCUUUCGCCUGUGACGAAGCGUGAGUGACGGUAAUGGGUAAAGAAGCACCGGCUAACUACGUG
This 468-nucleotide ribosomal RNA is filed under the name uncultured bacterium. RNAcentral describes it as "partial 16S ribosomal RNA". It matches the Rfam family "Bacterial small subunit ribosomal RNA", at positions 28 to 507 of the family's 1533-position model. The record is from RNAcentral.